ACAACGGAGAGUUUGAUCCUGGCUCAGGAUGAACGCUGGCGGCGUGCUUAACACAUGCAAGUCGAACGAGCCUUCGGGCUAGUGGCGGACGGGUGAGUAACGCGUGGGAAUCUGCCCUCAGGAGGGGGAUAACGGCCGGAAACGGCCGCUAAUACCCCAUAUGCCGAGAGGUGAAAUGAAUUUCGCCUGAGGAUGAGCCCGCGUCUGAUUAGCUAGUUGGUGUGGUAAUGGCGCACCAAGGCGACGAUCAGUAGCUGGUCUGAGAGGAUGAUCAGCCACACUGGGACUGAGACACGGCCCAGACUCCUACGGGAGGCAGCAGUGGGGAAUUUUCCGCAAUGGGCGAAAGCCUGACGGAGCAACGCCGCGUGAGGGAUGAAGGCCUCUGGGCUGUAAACCUCUUUUCUCAAGGAAGAAGACAUGACGGUACUUGAGGAAUAAGCCACGGCUAAUUCCGUGCCAGCAGCCGCGGUAAUACGGGAGUGGCAAGCGUUAUCCGGAAUUAUUGGGCGUAAAGCGUCCGCAGGCGGCCUUGUAAGUCUGUCGUUAAAGCGUGGAGCUUAACUCCAUUUGAGCGAUGGAAACUACAAGGCUUGAGUGUGGUAGGGGCAGAGGGAAUUCCCGGUGUAGCGGUGAAAUGCGUAGAUAUCGGGAAGAACACCAGUGGCGAAGGCGCUCUGCUGGGCCAUAACUGACGCUCAUGGACGAAAGCCAGGGGAGCGAAAGGGAUUAGAUACCCCUGUAGUCCUGGCCGUAAACGAUGAACACUAGGUGUCGGGGGAAUCGACCCCCUCGGUGUCGUAGCUAACGCGUUAAGUGUUCCGCCUGGGGAGUACGCACGCAAGUGUGAAACUCAAAGGAAUUGACGGGGGCCCGCACAAGCGGUGGAGUAUGUGGUUUAAUUCGAUGCAACGCGAAGAACCUUACCAGGGUUUGACAUCCUGCGAAUCCCUUGGAAACGAGGGAGUGCCUUCGGGAGCGCAGAGACAGGUGGUGCAUGGCUGUCGUCAGCUCGUGUCGUGAGAUGUUGGGUUAAGUCCCGCAACGAGCGCAACCCACGUCUUUAGUUGCCAGCAUUCAGUUGGGCACUCUAGAGAGACCGCCGGUGAUAAACCGGAGGAAGGUGUGGAUGACGUCAAGUCAUCAUGCCCCUUACAUCCUGGGCUACACACGUACUACAAUGCUACGGACAAAGGGUUGCAAGCUCGCGAGAGUUAGCUAAUCCCAUAAACCGUGGCUCAGUUCAGAUCGUAGGCUGCAACUCGCCUACGUGAAGGAGGAAUCGCUAGUAAUCGCAGGUCAGCAUACUGCGGUGAAUACGUUCCCGGGCCUUGUACACACCGCCCGUCACACCAUGGAAGUUGGCCAUGCCCGAAGUCGUUACUCCAACCCUUGUGGAGGAGGACGCCGAAGGUGGGGCUGAUGACUGGGGUGAAGUCGUAACAAGGUAGCCGUACCGGAAGGUGCGGCUGGAUCACCUCCUAA
This 1485-nucleotide ribosomal RNA is filed under the name Microcystis elabens FACHB-917. Its description in RNAcentral is "bacterial SSU rRNA". It matches the Rfam family "Bacterial small subunit ribosomal RNA". Lineage: Bacteria; Bacillati; Cyanobacteriota; Cyanophyceae; Chroococcales; Microcystaceae. The record is from RNAcentral.